This is a long non-coding RNA of Suricata suricatta (meerkat), 782 nucleotides long. RefSeq lists it as uncharacterized. NCBI's taxonomy places the organism in Eukaryota, Metazoa, Chordata, Mammalia, Carnivora, Herpestidae. The transcript has 3 exons. The record is from RefSeq and is a predicted model, not a curated record.
CUCACAUCUACGAGUGAACUAAACCAGCCGCACCCCACCCCCAGCACCAAAGCAAACCCCUUUCCUUUGCUCAGACCUUGGGACAGCCUGUCUUCAGAAAGAACGCUCCAUGUUUUCAUUACCCACGUGGUUUCUCCGGACGCUUGGAGGUCAGCGGCUACACCUGCCCCUCUCCCCAGAGGUCUACAGGCCAAAGGACCCUCGGCUCCUAUAACAAGAUCCAGUCCGGCACAGACAGAUCUGCCACUGUCUUCACUGCUCACAGGAUUCUAGUUGUUUUUGACCUGAGUCACAGCCAAGGAUGAAUUAGUCAAAAGAAAUCAAGGCUGCUUUGAGAACCUGGAGAAAAGACUCGACCUCUCAAAACCUGAGCUUCUUCAUGUGAAAAUGGAGAACCCAAUACCUACUUUGGGUUUAGAAGGUAGCAUAUACUCAGAGAGGCUGGCAAAGCUAUAUGCUCAGUGGGAGGGGGAGGAAGAGACCUAAAGCAGGAUGAGUGUCUGUCCCCCCUCUCUACUUCCCUUCCCUUCCCUGGCAGGUCCCAGGCUCCCUUGUCCCCACUUCUCUGGGAGACAGGAGGGCAGGGGUGACCCUCCGGCACUGCCGGAAAGCAUCUUGGCGUGGCAGGAAGAAAAUGAUCUUUGGGGCGUCUGGGGGGCUCAUCAAUUAAGCAUUCAACUCUUGAUUUCGGCUCAGGGCAUGACCUCACAGUUUGUGAGUGCCAGUCCCCCAGAUAGCAGGCAGCCUCCUUGGGAUUCUCUCUCUGCCCCUCUGCCCCUCCC